CGGAGCAUAGCUCAGUCGGUUUAGAGCGCACGCUUCACACGCGUGAGGUCGUAGGUUCGAAUCCUACUGUUCCGACCA
Molecule: transfer RNA, 78 nt
Filed under: Saprospiraceae bacterium
Lineage: Bacteria; Pseudomonadati; Bacteroidota; Saprospiria; Saprospirales; Saprospiraceae
Description: tRNA-Val
Rfam family: tRNA
About the family: Transfer RNA (tRNA) molecules are approximately 80 nucleotides in length.
Source: RNAcentral